This 498-nucleotide ribosomal RNA is filed under the name uncultured bacterium. Its description in RNAcentral is "bacterial SSU rRNA". It matches the Rfam family "Bacterial small subunit ribosomal RNA", at positions 36 to 518 of the family's 1533-position model. The record is from RNAcentral.
AUGAACGCCUAGCGACAGGCUUAACACAUGCAAGUCGAGGGGUAACAGGGUAGCAAUACCGCUGACGACCGGCGCACGGGUGAGUAACGCGUAUGCAACCUGCCUAUAACUGGGGAAUAGCUCCCUGAAAGGGGAAUUAACACCGCAUAACACUAUUGAUUCGCAUGGAUUGGUAGUUAAAUGUAGCGAUACAGGUUAUAGAUGGGCAUGCGUGACAUUAGCUAGUUGGUGAGGUAACGGCUCACCAAGGCUACGAUGUCUAGGGGUUCUGAGAGGAAGGUCCCCCACACUGGUACUGAGACACGGACCAGACUCCUACGGGAGGCAGCAGUGAGGAAUAUUGGUCAAUGGGCGCAAGCCUGAACCAGCCAUGUCGCGUGCAGGAAGACUGCCCCUAUGGGUUGUAAACUGCUUUUAUAGUAGAAGAAACACAUCUACGCGUAGAUGUCUGCCAGUAUACUAUGAAUAAGCAUCGGCUAACUCCGUGCCAGCAGCUGC